UACGAAGGGUGCAAGCGUUAUUCGGAAUGAUUGGGCGUAAAGGGUGCGCAGGCGGUAUAUUAAGUCAACUGUUAAAUCUCCUGGCUUAACCAGGAACAAGCAGCGGAUACUGAUGUGCUAGAGGAUGGGAGAGAGAAGUGGAAUUCUCGGAGUAGCGGUAAAAUGCGUAGAUCUCGAGAGGAACACCGAUGGCGAAGGCAGCUUCUUGGCCCAUUUCUGACGCUCAUGCACGAAAGCGUGGGGAGCAAACGGG
RNAcentral lists this ribosomal RNA (253 nucleotides) under uncultured bacterium. RNAcentral describes it as "partial 16S ribosomal RNA". It matches the Rfam family "Bacterial small subunit ribosomal RNA", at positions 524 to 776 of the family's 1533-position model. The record is from RNAcentral.